Molecule: long non-coding RNA, 220 nt
Organism: Rhipicephalus sanguineus (brown dog tick)
Lineage: Eukaryota; Metazoa; Arthropoda; Arachnida; Ixodida; Ixodidae
Exons: 3
Source: RefSeq, a predicted model, not a curated record
CAGAAGCAGAUGGAGAAGCUGCAUUGUUGCAGUUGAGCAACAUGGAUUGUACUGCAGCAAACAAUGAAGCCAUAGCUGCACUAUUGCUGUUAGGAAACAUUAAGGUGGAUCCAACUCCAACAGGUCAAUGUCUGGAUCGGGAUGAAGGCCUCUCUUUCUGGAGAAUAGGACGCAAGUGCUUUUUUGUGCAUUCAGUGUAAACCCAUUCUCGUCUGCCCAU